Molecule: RNA transcript, 3751 nt
Organism: Zea mays
Lineage: Eukaryota; Viridiplantae; Streptophyta; Magnoliopsida; Poales; Poaceae
Source: RefSeq, marked validated
CCCUGCCGAAGCUUCACAUCCAUAUCUGUCAUGGCCUGAGCAGCCUUCCCCAGUCAAUGCGGCAGUUCGCAUCCCUCCAGGUGCUUGCCAUAGAUGCAUGCUACGGACUCCACCGGCUGCCUGAAUGCCUAGGGGAGCUCUGCUCUCUACGCCAGCUCAGAAUCAGCGAUUGCCCGAGGCUGGCUUGCCUUCCCCAAUCCAUGUCCGGCCUCACCUCCCUUCAACAACUCCAGAUCAUCGAGUGCCAGGGCCUCGCGUCCUUACCGAGGGGGAUGAUGAGCAGCCUCGCCUCCCUUGAAAACCUGGUCGUCGAUGGCUGCCCGGGGAUCAAAUCCUUGCCUCAAGACACAAAGGGUCUCACCACUCUGAUGGGGUUGCGGAUCCGUAGGUGCCCUGAUCUGGAGAGGCGUUGUGAGGCAGGACAGGGGGAGGACUGGCACCUCAUCUCCCACAUCCCUACUUUGAUGAUUGGGUUAUCAGCGGCCUGCAUCAUCUGGUACCUUAACCAAGGGUAAAACAAGCAAAGGAGCGGGGAAAUGCCUUGCUCUAAUGCUGGGAGAAGGGGGGGGGGGGGGGAUUCAACAAAAAGAUCCCGGAUUUCAGCCGACGAGCUGGGCGACAGAGAAGAGGGAGCCGCAUGUGGCUCUUUAUGCAUGACAUAGCUGCCAUGUUAUCCGAUUGAAGCUUCCUUUCAACCAUGUCCGUGCUGAGCCGCCCGGCCCCGGGCAUGGUGCAGUGCUUCGACGAGGCCACCAAGAUUGAGGUCAAGGACCUUGUCAACCGCUAUCCUCGUCGCCGACCCCAUGCGCCACGAACACAAGAAGUUUGGCGGCUGUGGUGCCCGCGCCAGGUUCCAGAAGUCCUACCGUUGAGUGAUGGCCUGCCGAAUUUUGCGAAAGAUGGCUGUGCUUGUUGGUGGUUUCGUUUUCUGUCCAUGGAGCUGCUUAUCUGGCUGCUGCUGCUGCUGCUUUACCUUAAUGUGCAGUUAUGAAGACUAGUAAUUAGUCUCUGGAGUAUGUUUUGCUGGUCAGUCUCCCGUUCAAGUGUGUUUUGCUGUUAUAGGUUAUAGUUGCGACUGGAAUGCCUUCUCUGCUCUAAUUCAUAUUUCAUAGGCCUAAUACAUUGUUGGGAAAGAAAGAUACAAAAAGUCAGUAUCAGCUGCUUUCCCUCAGUUGAUGAACUGAUUAGGAUGGCUGAUGUGGAGUUCACUCUCAAAAAUCAUGGAGUUACUCUCACCAUCUCUGAAUGGAAGGAUGCUAGUGAUGUUGAACCCAGUUAUCAAUUGGACGAGGUUUGGGUUCAUGUGAGGGGAGUACCUCACGCUUGGAGGCAUUAUUUGGGUUUUUGGGCCCUAGGAUCGGUAAUCGGCGCCACUCUUGAUGUAGACAUGUACACCUAUAGAAAGAUGGGCGUCAUCAGACUGCUUGUUGGUGUGAUGAGCAGAGAUCCACUACCCCUGACCACCGAUAUUGUUUUUGACAAGAAGGGAUACGAGAUCACCUAUUCUAUAGAGGAUAAGAACUUCAUUCCUGCAUCUCCGGUGAUUUUUAGGGAGGAGUCUCGUAAUGAUGGUGGGGGUGGUAUGGACAAGGUUUCUGAACAAGAGGGUAAAAGUCCAGAACAUGCUUUCAAAAAGCAUAAAUUAGAUGGGAAGGGGGGUGGUGCUGGUUCUAUGGCAGGGGGUUUUGGUGAUGGAGAAGAUUCUCCAAUGCUUGGGGCUGCUGCCAUUUCACCCUUGGAGAAGGCUAAUGAACCUGUGCCUGCUGUGAUGAAGGGUUUUCCUUUGCUCAACUUGUCUGCCCUGCAUUCUGUACGUCCCUCUUUGAAUGGCCGAACUGGGGCAGAUCUGAAGCUGCAUAAGAAUGGAAUGUCAUCUGCUGCUGGGUUUCUUUCUGGUGGCAAAAGGAGCUCUGUUGUUGGGUCAUAUGAUACUAAUGGCUGCAACUUAAUGCUACAGAGUAUUCUUGAUGAGCAGAUAGUGAGUAACAUGAAAGGGGCUGACCCGACUGGUGUGAUUAACUCUGUACACACGACCAGGAUUGUGCCUGACGCAAGCAGCUGGUCCAAGAAUAUUCCUGAUGAGCAGUUAGUAAGUAACAAGAAGGGGGUUGGUCCGUCUGUUGUGCUUACUUCGGCACACACGGCCAUGAAUAUGCCAGCGGCAUGUUGCUGGUCCAUGCCUGCAUUCCAGGGACAGAGGAGUUUUGCAUUUGAAAGGGAGGGCCGGCCGAUGGAUGAUGUAAGGAAGAUUGAACGCAGUUUGCAUAUUGGGGCGGGGCAAGUAAAAUUGCCCAUCCCACCGGAGAAGAAACUGAUGCCUCCGGGGAAAGAUGAGGAUUCUACUUUGAAGGCUAUGAAGAGGGCUUCUCGUCGCAAUCUUGAUGGCGAUUUGAGUGGAUUCAAGCCGGCUGGUCAAGCGCUACGCACGGUGUCCACUUCAUCUCUUCCGAUUGGGCCGUUUCAGUCAGGCAAAACAUUUCUUUGGAUCUAGAAGUCAUGGCUAACUGUUGGCAGCAGCGAGCGGCUAAGCCCCGCGACCGCGAGCGUGCAAUGGCGAUGGCGGAUUGUCACGAUGCCGGAAGAGCAAGACUCGGCGCGAGGGAAAGCCCAGUUACAUUUAGGAAGGGGGAUGACUUGGGUAAGGUGGUAGCCUCAUCCUUGCAUUCACCAAUUCCUGUAAACUCCCGAACUUCGUGAGAGGAGUGAGCUCCGGCAGCGGUGGUGGUGCUCGUCAUCAAUCCAAACAGAUCGAUUUCGGUUGGAGGAGUGCGCGCCACCCGUUCGACGAAAGUCGUCAUCGGAAGAGCAACGUGCGCGCGUACGUCAACGGCUCAAAAGCGCGUGAGUCGCCUUCCCAUUCGUUUGUCAAAGCCCACAGUUUGUCAAGAGAGAGAGAGAGAGAGAGAGAGAGAGAGAGAGAGAGAGAGAGAGAGAGAGAGAGAGAGAGAAGUUGCUGUCCGCGAGAGACACGUUUCCAGCUCAGCAGUCAGCAUGCUCGAGCAAAGAAAAGAUUCUCAAGGGUGGGGCGGUGGGCACAAACACCCUCUGCCUGCCUGCAGCCUGCUCAUAUCAUCUCAUCUGACAUCUCCAUGUUUAUCCCCUCUCUCCAGUUCUCCAGCUCACAAGUUUCCUGGCCUCGCUUGUAUCUUUGAGCGCCUCAACUCUGCAGCACAUAUAUCCUGUAAUAAGCUCUGUCUUGCAUACACUAGCUCUAGAGUCUUUCAAGAUGAGCAAACAGAUCUGAGCUCCAGGGACUUGUGGUACAGGAUCUCUCUACAGCCUCUUCGGUGCUCGAAGCGGUGGAACUUCUGGCACAAGGGACACUUUACAGAAAGAUGACUGGUGUCGAAGCUGCCGCCAUAUCUGCUGUAGCAUCUGGAAUAUUAAAGAUUGUGGGCAACAAGUUGGCACCACUGGUUAUAAGAAAGUAUAGCUCAAUCGUGGGUGUGGAAAAAGAUCUCCAGAAGCUCCAGGUCCUAGUUGAGGAUAUAAACUCUUGGCUAGAAAGCGCGGGAUAUCAAGCUUUUGGUGAUGAUGCAUCACUUAGUUGGUUCAAACUUCAAACAGUUGAAAGAUGUUGCUUAUGCUGUUGACGAUGUUGUCGAUGAGUACCAGCUGAAGGCCGAGAGAAAUGAUGCUUCUGGUGAUGGUGAUUUUGUAUCCAGAUAUAUGCGUAGAAAACCAGAAUCGUUCAUAUUUCAGUGUAAGGCAGCUAAGAAGAUCAAGGCAAUCAAGAAGAGAUUUGCUGCAA